Molecule: ribosomal RNA, 253 nt
Filed under: uncultured bacterium
Lineage: Bacteria
Description: partial 16S ribosomal RNA
Rfam family: Bacterial small subunit ribosomal RNA
Source: RNAcentral
UACGAAGGGGGCUAGCGUUACUCGGAUUGACUGGGCGUAAAGGGCGCGUAGGCGGUUUGUACAGUCAGACGUGAAAUUCCUGGGCUCAACCUGGGGGCUGCGUUUGAUACGUGCAGACUUGAGUUCGGAAGAGGGUCGUGGAAUUCCCAGUGUAGAGGUGGAAUUCGUAGAUAUUGGGAAGAACACCGAUGGCGAAGGCAGCCAUCUGGACCGACACUGACGCUGAGGCGCGAAAGCGUGGGGAGCAAACAGG